GCUAAUACCGGAUAGUUCCUUGAACCGCAGGGUUCAAGGAUGAAAGACGGUUUCGGCUGUCACUUACAGAUGGACCCGCGGCGCAUUAGCUAGUUGGUGGGGUAAUGGCUCACCAAGGCGACGAUGCGUAGCCGACCUGAGAGGGUGAUCGGCCACACUGGGACUGAGACACGGCCCAGACUCCUACGGGAGGCAGCAGUAGGGAAUCUUCCGCAAUGGACGAAAGUCUGACGGAGCAACGCCGCGUGAGUGAUGAAGGUUUUCGGAUCGUAAAGCUCUGUUGUUAGGGAAGAACAAGUGCGAGAGUAACUGCUCGCACCUUGACGGUACCUAACCAGAAAGCCACGGCUAACUACGUGCCAGCAGCCGCGGUAAUACGU
This 380-nucleotide ribosomal RNA is filed under the name Bacillus sp. (in: firmicutes). RNAcentral describes it as "bacterial SSU rRNA". It matches the Rfam family "Bacterial small subunit ribosomal RNA", at positions 162 to 528 of the family's 1533-position model. Lineage: Bacteria; Bacillati; Bacillota; Bacilli; Caryophanales; Bacillaceae. The record is from RNAcentral.